UACGUAGGGUGCGAGCGUUAAUCGGAAUUACUGGGCGUAAAGCGCGCGUAGACGGUUUUGUAAGUCAGAUGUGAAAUCCCUGGGCUCAACCUGGGAAUUGCAUUGGAGACUGCAAGGCUAGAAUCUGGCAGAGGGGGGUAGAAUUCCACGUGUAGCAGUGAAAUGCGUAGAUAUGUGGAGGAACACCGAUGGCGAAGGCAGCCCCCUGGGUCAAGAUUGACGCUCAUGCACGAAAGCGUGGGGAGCAAACAGG
RNAcentral lists this ribosomal RNA (253 nucleotides) under uncultured bacterium. RNAcentral's name for it is "partial 16S ribosomal RNA". It matches the Rfam family "Bacterial small subunit ribosomal RNA", at positions 524 to 776 of the family's 1533-position model. The record is from RNAcentral.